GAACAGGCUUGAAAAUCCCAGUUGAUCCAGUCCCACCUGCAGAUUGCCUGGUUUCCCCCCCAGGAGCUGGCAGUUAGCUGACAGGACUCAGCAUUGUGUCCUACACAAUAGGAAAUCAUGGGGAAAUAUCUGCUGCUUUAUCCAGAAUGUAGUCUCUGGUAAUCUAUCUGGCAAAAGCAUGGUGCACAGGAUUUCAUCCAGUGCAAUUUUACCUUUGCUGGAAACAUCAGGUGAUACCUGAAAUAAACGACAUUAAAUUUUCAUUUUGUUAAUUAUAUAGCGAAAAAAAAUAUGGUGACAAGCUGAGAACAAUUCCGAGCAGCUUGUUUUCUUUCCU
Molecule: long non-coding RNA, 337 nt
Organism: Neopsephotus bourkii (Bourke's parrot)
Lineage: Eukaryota; Metazoa; Chordata; Aves; Psittaciformes; Psittacidae
Exons: 3
Source: RefSeq, a predicted model, not a curated record